Molecule: ribosomal RNA, 110 nt
Filed under: Macrococcoides caseolyticum
Lineage: Bacteria; Bacillati; Bacillota; Bacilli; Caryophanales; Staphylococcaceae
Description: Macrococcus caseolyticus partial 16S ribosomal RNA
Rfam family: Bacterial small subunit ribosomal RNA
Source: RNAcentral
GGAGUAACCUUUUAGGAGCUAGCCGUCGAAGGUGGGACAGAUGAUUGGGGUGAAGUCGUAACAAGGUAGCCGUAUCGGAAGGUGCGGCUGGAUCACCUCCUUUCUAAGGA